Molecule: long non-coding RNA, 563 nt
Filed under: Zea mays
Lineage: Eukaryota; Viridiplantae; Streptophyta; Magnoliopsida; Poales; Poaceae
Description: long non-coding RNA (ZMAY_LNC003108)
Source: RNAcentral
UGGCAAGAAAACAUACGUUGGGUGAAGUGUACGUGCCUCUGGUCGAUGAUCAAUGGCCGCACAACCCCCAUUUUUGUCCAAAAGCCUUCGGUAUUAUUGAAAAUGGUCGUUCAUGACUAUUUUUGACAAAAAUGGGGGUUGUGUGGCCAUUGAUCAUCGACCAGAGGCUCAUACACCUCACCCCACAUAUGGUUCCUUGCCAUAGAUCACAUUCUUGGAUUUCUGGUGGAGACCAUUUCUUGGUCAAAAAUCCGUAGGUGUUAGCCUUCGGUAUUAUUGAAAAUGGUCGUUCAUGGCUAUUUUCAUCAAAAAUGGGGGUUGUGUUGCCAUUGAUCAUCAACCAAAGGCUCGUACACCUCACCCAACAUAUGUUUCCUUCUCAUAGAUCGCAUUCUUGGAUUUCUAGUGGAAACCAUUUCUGGGUCAAAAAUUCGUAGGCGUUAGCCAUCGGUAUUAUUGAAAAUGGUCGUUCAUGUCUAUUUUCGACAAAAAUGGGGGUUGUGUGGCCAUUGAUCAUCGACCAGAGGCUCAUACACCUCACCCCACAUAUGUUUCCUUGCCAU